AAGUCGUAACAAGGUUUCCGUAGGUGAACCUGCGGAAGGAUCAUUAAAGUAGAUAGGGUUCUUCAUGGCCCGACCUCCAAGCCCUCUGUUGUUAAAACUACCUUGUUGCUUUGGCGGGACCGCUUCGGUCUCGAGCCGCUGGGGAUUCGUCCCAGGCGAGCGCCCGCCAGAGUUAACCAAACUCUUGUUAUUUAACCGGUCGUCUGAGUUAAAUUUGAAUAAAUCAAAA
This 229-nucleotide unclassified non-coding RNA is filed under the name plant metagenome. RNAcentral describes it as "partial contains small subunit ribosomal RNA and internal transcribed spacer 1". The stretch from base 1 to 46 matches the Rfam family "Eukaryotic small subunit ribosomal RNA", at positions 1786 to 1831 of the family's 1831-position model. The record is from RNAcentral.